UCGAGAAUUUUUCUCAAUGGGCGAAAGCCUGAAGGAGCGACGCCGCGUGGGGGAUGAAUGGCUUCGGCCCGUAAACCCCUGUCAUUUGUGAACAAAUUGGUUCAUCUAACACCUGAACCAUUGAUAGUAACGGAAGAGGAAGGGACGGCUAACUCUGUGCCAGCAGCCGCGGUAAUACAGAGGUCCCAAGCGUUGUUCGGAUUUACUGGGCGUAAAGGGUGCGUAGGCGGUCGGGUAAGUCUGGUGUGAAAUCUUCGAGCUUAACUCGGAAACUGCAUUGGAUACUAUUCGGCUAGAGAGUUGGAGGGGGGAUUGGAAUACUUGGUGUAGCAGUGAAAUGCGUAGAUAUCAAGUGGAACACCAGUGGCGAAGGCGAAUCCCUGGACAACUUCUGACGCUGAGGCACGAAAGCUAGGGGAGCAAACAG
This 427-nucleotide ribosomal RNA is filed under the name uncultured bacterium. RNAcentral's name for it is "bacterial SSU rRNA". It matches the Rfam family "Bacterial small subunit ribosomal RNA", at positions 355 to 775 of the family's 1533-position model. The record is from RNAcentral.